RNAcentral lists this ribosomal RNA (253 nucleotides) under uncultured bacterium. Its description in RNAcentral is "partial 16S ribosomal RNA". It matches the Rfam family "Bacterial small subunit ribosomal RNA", at positions 524 to 776 of the family's 1533-position model. The record is from RNAcentral.
UACGUAGGGGGCAAGCGUUGUCCGGAUUUAUUGGGCGUGAAGAGCGUGUAGGCGGCCAGAUAGGUCUGUUGUGAAAACUCGAGGCUCAACCUCGAGACGCCGAUGGAAACCAUUUGGCUAGAGUCCGGAAGAGGAGAGUGGAAUUCCUGGUGUAGCGGUGAAAUGCGCAGAUAUCAGGAAGAACACCCGUGGCUAAGGCGGCUCUCUAGUACGGUACUGACGCUGAGACGCGAAAGCGUGGGGAGCGAACAGG